Molecule: long non-coding RNA, 372 nt
Filed under: Panax ginseng (ginseng)
Lineage: Eukaryota; Viridiplantae; Streptophyta; Magnoliopsida; Apiales; Araliaceae
Description: long non-coding RNA (PGIN_LNC016091)
Source: RNAcentral
GACCUGUAACUUGAUGUUGAUAAGUCACCAGUUCCGCCAAUUGCUCAAUUUGCUUGCAUAGAGCUUUCAUCUUUCGUUCUAUUGUGAACUGAAACUUGGCAUAAUCCCAUCUGUCAUCACCAUCUUUGAGGGUCUGGGAGGAUUCAUAGCUAAAAUUGGAACUCUGUCCGUUGCUCCAAUUGAUCAUGUUGACCUCUUCUUCUUUGUGUUGAGGAAGAGGGUUGUCUUGAACGUGAGGUUGAUCUGGUUUGGUGACCACGAUCUCCCUGUUGUCUAUCAGGUCCUGGAUCUUGUGUUUCAAGGCCCAACAAUCCUGAGUAUCAUGUCCAGGUGCCCCGGCAUGAUAAGCACAUUUCUGAGCAGCAUUGAAAC